GACUUAAAAUCCGUCGACUUUUAAAAUCGUGAGGGUUCAAGUCCCUUUAUCCCC
Molecule: transfer RNA, 54 nt
Filed under: Chloropyron maritimum subsp. canescens
Lineage: Eukaryota; Viridiplantae; Streptophyta; Magnoliopsida; Lamiales; Orobanchaceae
Description: partial tRNA-Leu
Source: RNAcentral